CAGGGAAUAUUGCACAAUGGGCGAAAGCCUGAUGCAGCAACGCCGCGUGAAGGAUGAAGGCCUUCGGGUCGUAAACUUCUUUUGUAGAGGACGAGAAGGGACGGUACUCUGCGAAUAAGACACGGCUAACUACGUGCCAGCAGCCGCGGUAAUACGUAGGUGUCGAGCGUUAUUCGGAUUUACUGGGCGUAAAGCGCACCGAGGUGGCUUCUUAAGUUGGAUGUGAAAUCUCCUGGCUUAACUGGGAGACGCCAUUCAAAACUGAGGAGCUUGAGGUCAGCAGGGGAAAGUGGAAUUCCCGGUGUAGUGGUGGAAUGCGUAGAGAUCGGGAGGAACACCAGUGGCGAAAGCGACUUUCUGGGCUGCACCUGACACUCUAGUGCGAAAGCGUGGGGAGCAAACAGG
This 405-nucleotide ribosomal RNA is filed under the name uncultured bacterium. RNAcentral describes it as "bacterial SSU rRNA". It matches the Rfam family "Bacterial small subunit ribosomal RNA", at positions 355 to 776 of the family's 1533-position model. The record is from RNAcentral.